Molecule: transfer RNA, 72 nt
Organism: Xenococcus sp. PCC 7305
Lineage: Bacteria; Bacillati; Cyanobacteriota; Cyanophyceae; Pleurocapsales; Xenococcaceae
Rfam family: tRNA
About the family: Transfer RNA (tRNA) molecules are approximately 80 nucleotides in length. Their secondary structure includes four short double-helical elements and three loops (D, anti-codon, and T loops). Further hydrogen bonds mediate the characteristic L-shaped molecular structure. tRNAs have two regions of fundamental functional importance: the anti-codon, which is responsible for specific mRNA codon recognition, and the 3' end, to which the tRNAs corresponding amino acid is attached (by aminoacyl-tRNA synthetases). tRNAs cope with the degeneracy of the genetic code in two manners: having more than one tRNA (with a specific anti-codon) for a particular amino acid; and 'wobble' base-pairing, i.e. permitting non-standard base-pairing at the 3rd anti-codon position.
Source: Rfam
GGUGGCAUAGCCAAGUGGUAAGGCCGUGGAUUGCAAAUCCAUUAUCCCCCAGUUCGAAUCUGGGUGCCACCU